AUACAUGCAAGUUGAACGCUUCUUUCUUAUCGAACUUCGGUUCACCAAGAAAGAGGAGUAGCGAACGGGUGAGUAACACGUGGGUAACCUGCCCAUCAGCGGGGGAUAACACUUGGAAACAGGUGCUAAUACCGCAUAAUGCUUUUUCUCACAUGAGAGAAAGCUGAAAGGCGCUUUUGCGUCACUGAUGGAUGGACCCGCGGUGCAUUAGCUAGUUGGUAGGGUAACGGCCUACCAAGGCAACGAUGCAUAGCCGACCUGAGAGGGUGAUCGGCCACACUGGGACUGAGACACGGCCCAGACUCCUACGGGAGGCAGCAGUAGGGAAUCUUCGGCAAUGGACGAAAGUCUGACCGAGCAACGCCGCGUGAGUGAAGAAGGUUUUCGGAUCGUAAAAACUCUGUUGUUAGAGAAGAAACAAGGAUGAGAAA
This 431-nucleotide ribosomal RNA is filed under the name Enterococcus italicus. Its description in RNAcentral is "bacterial SSU rRNA". It matches the Rfam family "Bacterial small subunit ribosomal RNA", at positions 51 to 463 of the family's 1533-position model. Lineage: Bacteria; Bacillati; Bacillota; Bacilli; Lactobacillales; Enterococcaceae. The record is from RNAcentral.